UACGUAGGGUGCAAGCGUUAAUCGGAAUUACUGGGCGUAAAGCGUGCGCAGGCGGUUAUGCAAGACAGAUGUGAAAUCCCCGGGCUUAACCUGGGAACUGCAUUUGUGACUGCAUGGCUGGAGUGCGGCAGAGGGGGAUGGAAUUCCGCGUGUAGCAGUGAAAUGCGUAGAUAUGCGGAGGAACACCGAUGGCGAAGGCAAUCCCCUGGGCCUGCACUGACGCUCAUGCACGAAAGCGUGGGGAGCAAACAGG
This 253-nucleotide ribosomal RNA is filed under the name uncultured bacterium. Its description in RNAcentral is "partial 16S ribosomal RNA". It matches the Rfam family "Bacterial small subunit ribosomal RNA", at positions 524 to 776 of the family's 1533-position model. The record is from RNAcentral.